RNAcentral lists this ribosomal RNA (254 nucleotides) under uncultured bacterium. Its description in RNAcentral is "partial 16S ribosomal RNA". It matches the Rfam family "Bacterial small subunit ribosomal RNA", at positions 524 to 776 of the family's 1533-position model. The record is from RNAcentral.
UACGGGGGGAGCAAGCGUUGUUCGGAUUUACUGGGCGUAAAGGGCGCGUAGGCGGCCAGCACAAGUCAGUUGUGAAAUCUCCGGGCUUAACUCGGAAAGGUCAAUUGAUACUGUGCGGCUAGAGUGCAGAAGGGGCAACUGGAAUUCCCAGUGUAGCGGUGAAAUGCGUAGAUAUUGGGAGGAACACCAGUGGCGAAGGCGGCUCACUGGACCGGUACUGACGCUGAUGCGCGAAAGCGCGGGGAGCAAACGGG